This 376-nucleotide long non-coding RNA is filed under the name Struthio camelus australis. RNAcentral's name for it is "lncRNA (ENSSCUG00000012388.1)". The record is from RNAcentral. Lineage: Eukaryota; Metazoa; Chordata; Aves; Struthioniformes; Struthionidae.
GCUUGGGAAAGCUGUUGUCCCACAUCGCCAUCCUUCAAAGUGGGAAAAUGGCAACAAAAAAAGGUCCUGCUACUUCUAAGAUGCGAAAGAUGGUUUUGCAUAAGAUGCUGGUAAACAAAUACAUGCAAUGGAAGAAAUAUCUGUAUCACAAACAGGUCCUUGUCAGAAUUUUCAUGCGUAGUGUUGCUCUGCAUUGUCCUUUAGAUGAGACUUUUAUGUUCAUUUCAAAGCAGACUGAAGAUUUAUCAGGGUUCUUGUUUAAGUCUGGGUUGUGAAGGCAAUUACAGUAUACACCUGAAUUAUAAAUAGACCUUUGGGUACGGUUAUAAUUAGGAUUUCAAUAAUAAAACUGUUAUUCUAGUUGCUUUUGUGUGGG